UCCGUAAUGCACCGACGCCGUAUGGUGGAUGACUUGGCUUGGGUGGCGACGAAGGACGCGGCAAGCUGCGAAAAGCCCCGGGGAGGCGCACGCAUCCCUUGAUCCGGGGAUUUCCGAAUGGGGUAAAACCCACCGAGAUUGCCGCAAGGCGUCUCGGUGAUCCGAAAGGAUCGCGAACGCUGGGGAAGGAAACAUCUGAGUACCAGCAGGAAGAGAAAUCAAUUGAGAUCCCGUUACUAGCGGCGAGCGAAAACGGGACAGCCCAAACCGAAUCCCCUGGUGAAAGCUAGGGGAGAUGUAGGGUUCGCCUUCAGCGUGUGCGACCCUGGGACCGAUAGCUGAACUCGGCUGGAAAGCCGGAGAACAGAGUGUGAUACUCACGUAGGUCAAUCGGGACCGAGGUCGUGCUGAGGGCAGAGUACCUGGCCUUGGCAGUGGCUAGGGAACAUGGGGGAAAGCAGCCUCCAAGGCUAAACACUACCCAAGACCGAUAGCAAACUACGUACCGCGAGGGAAAGUUGCAAAGGGCCCCGAAAGGGGUGUGAAAAGAGCCUGAAACCAUACGGUUACAGACGUGCGCGGCAUGGAAGGACCACGAUCCUUGAGCGAGUCCCGCAAGGGGCUCAAUUGAGGGUAAGUGCUCCGGUGUCGCGCAUUCCGUCUAGAAACACGGGCCAGGGAGUUAACUGUCAUGGCGAGCCUAAGGGUUCAAAGCCCGGAGGCGAAGCGAAAGCGAUACUCCGCAAGGCCGCAAGGCCCCAGGGAGGAGGUGUGAAAGUGCCUUUGAGUCAUGGCGGUUUAGACUAGAAACCGAGUGAUCGUGCCCUCGACAAGGUGAAGCCGGGCGAAAGCCUGGUGGAGGCCUGACAGGGUCUUAACGUGCAACUUAGUCCCCUGAUCGGGGGCAAGGGGCCAAAAGCCUAUCUAACUCGGUGAUUGCUAGUUCCCACCGAAGCGGAUCCCAGUCCUGUCUCCGUGGAUGUAGCUCACGCUGUAGAGCACCGAUGAAGAAACAAGGAUUCGAAAGGGUCCACUUCUUUUUCGAACUCCGAAUGUGUGGGCGCAAGAGAAGCGGGGAAGCGGGUUUAUGUGGGGUAAGCCUCAUAACCGAGAGGGGAUUAACCCAGACUGGAGUUAAGGUCCCCAAGUUUAGGCUAAGUGUCAAGCUAAAGGGUGUCCGCGAGCUCAGACAGCAGGGAGGUAGGCUUAGAAGCAGCCACCCUUCAAAGAUAGCGUAACAGCUCACCUGCCGAGCUUGCAGGCCCCGAAAAUGGACGGGACUAAAGCCUAGCACCGAUACUCCGGACAGCUACUCUGAGAGUAGCUUGUGGUAGGUGGGCGUAGAGAUUGGGCGGAAGCCGGGCCGUGAGGUCCGGUGGACCGAUUUCUAGUGCAGAUCCUGGUAGUAGUAGCAGCAUAGUCGGGUGAGAAUCCUGACCGCCGCAAGGGCACGGGUUCCCUGGCAAUGCGUCGUCAGCCAGGGGUUAGCCGAUCCUAAGUGUAUCCUCAACAGGGAAACACGAACCAGGGAAACUGGUUAAAAUUCCAGUGCCUUCGUUUGGCCGAUGGGCCGCAAGGCCCGGCAUCGACUCCGACACUUCGAGGUAGGACGUGCAGAGUUUAUCGCUCUGUCUAAUCUUCCGAGUCGUGGGGAGUGUCGUAAUGACGAGAACCACGUCGAGGGGAGAAUGGCAGCCCGUUGGGGUUGUUCGUUCAAUCCCCGGAGACCGUGAAAACGGAGUUGGAAAGACCAAGCGAAGAUCGUACCCAGAACCGACACAGGUGCCCCUAGGUAAGAAGCCUAAGGCGUGUCGGGGAACUGUAGGUAAGGGAACUCGGCAAAAUAGUGGCGUACGUUAGCUAGAAGCCAUGCCUGCAUUCUUCAUGAGAAAUGGGGUUUGCAGGUUGCAAUAACAAGGGGGUCCCGACUGUUUACUAAAAACACAGUAAGCCGCAAGUCCGAAAGGAUGUGUACGGCUUAUGAAUCCUGGCCAGUGCAGGUACCUAAAACCUGGGUUCAACUGGGCUAAGGGCCUGUAAACGCCGGGAGUAACUCUGACUCUCUUAAGGUAGCCAAAUGCCUUGUCGGGUAAGUUCCGACGUGCAUGAAUGGACCAACGAGGGCCCCGCUGUCCCUAUCUACGACCCGGCGAACCUACGUAAGGUGGACGAACAGUCCAUCAACUUCCAUCGGGGAGAGAAGUCCCUGUGGAGCUUUACUGCAGCUUGUUGCUGCGAUGCGGUCUUCUUUGCAGAGUGUAGCUGGGAGACUUCGAAGCGCUGCUUUCGGGUGGCGUGGAGUCAACAAUGUAACACCAGCCUUAGUGGACUGCGUCGCUAACUCCUACGGGAGGACAACGGCAGGUGGGCAGUUCGGCUGGGGCGGCACCCCCUUGAAAAGAUAUCGAGGGGGCCCUAAGGUCGGCUCAUCUGGGUCAGAACUCCAGAGUUGACGGCAAGGCGAAAAGCCGGCCUGACAGGAAGUUUAAACGCAGAACUUUCUGCAACGAAAGUUUGGCCUAGCGAUCCUCCAAGUCCUCACUGUUGGGGGCUGGAGGUGACAGAAAAGUUACCCCAGGGGUAACAGGCUCGUCGCGGGCGAGAGCUCCAAUCGACCCCGCGGUUUGGUACCUCGGCCCAUCAGGGCCUUGGGGCAGAAUCGUGGUAACGCGAUUGAAGUAUCCGCAGAAAAAACACGAGUAUCGGCUUAUAUCGGCGAAACCCGACCUCCUUUAUCCAGGAGUCCCCCCAAGGGGAUCAUUGGGAAGAGCGGGAGAGGGCAACGCCGAGGGAAGUCCAAUGGGAAUUCAGCACCCGACCAGAUGGAAGAAGUCAUUCGAUGACGCCGUGAAUGGCGUCCCAACAGCAGCACAUAUCGAGCUUGCAGGCAGGGCAGUCGACAGCGGAGGGGGCCUCACGGCACUCUUCCUGGGCGCAGCCGCAGUCUGCACAGCGCAUAACAAAUCUCGCUGCCAUGACAGGGACGCCACAGCUUCGUCUAAUACGACUUUCAUCUGAUUGGAAACGCAGGUUCGGUCAGGCAUCACCGCGGAUGGCAUGCGCAGAUUCAGGGAGGGCGCGCCUCAGAGGUGCGCGAGGAUAGGAUACACGGCGAGCAGCAUUAUCGCCAGCAUGGCGACGAUGAGGACCGCCGCGGCCAGGGCAAAGAACUUGCUCGUCCUGUCCAUGCGCGUCUCGCCAGCGCGGCACCCAAUAAACCCUGGGUAUGCGCAGGUCAAACAUCCCGGAUGCCACCGUUAAAGAGGUCCGGCCGUUCCGUUGUGACCCCGUAACGACUGAGCGCGCAGAAGUGUGCGUAAUGAGAUGGCCACGCGGCUAGCUCGAGAUCCCGCAAGGGACACAUCGCGUUCCGACGCGAUGCGACAUGGGCGCAAGCCCGCUCGGGUGUGCCACACAAGAAACGCGGCCAUCAUACGCCGACCCCACGAGUGCUCGUGGGUGAAGACAUAGUCUAACUCCGGGCGUAAGCCUGGGUAUAGUUGCGAUGUCGGCUCUUCCCAUCCUGGUCCUGCAGCAGGGGCCAAGGGUGGGGCUGCUCGCCCAUCAAAGGGGAACGUGAGCUGGGUUUAGACCGUCGUGAGACAGGUCGGCCUCUACCUGAUGGAAGCGGUGGUUCACUGAGGGGAAGCCCUGCCCAGUACGAGAGGAACAGCGGGGCGUUGCCUCUGGCGUACCGGUCGUCCGAGAGGGCGUCGCCGGGCAGCUAAGCAAUUGUGGAUAACCGCUGAAAGCAUCUAAGCGGGAAGCCACUCCCGAGAAGAGUGAGCCUUGGACCCAAGCUACCUCCGCAAGGGGGUGGGGCGGGUCCAGAAGGGCGGCCAUAGAAGAUGGCGUUGAAAUGGUGGGGGUGUACGCUGGAAGCUUCGGCGACCAGUUCAGCCCGUCCACUAAUUACAGCCCAACGCUUGGAUGA
Molecule: ribosomal RNA, 3934 nt
Filed under: Nitrososphaerota archaeon
Lineage: Archaea; Thermoproteati; Nitrososphaerota
Description: Thaumarchaeota archaeon 23S ribosomal RNA
Rfam family: Archaeal large subunit ribosomal RNA
Source: RNAcentral